RNAcentral lists this transfer RNA (75 nucleotides) under Zafaria cholistanensis. RNAcentral's name for it is "tRNA-Met". It matches the Rfam family "tRNA". Rfam says of the family: Transfer RNA (tRNA) molecules are approximately 80 nucleotides in length. Their secondary structure includes four short double-helical elements and three loops (D, anti-codon, and T loops). Further hydrogen bonds mediate the characteristic L-shaped molecular structure. tRNAs have two regions of fundamental functional importance: the anti-codon, which is responsible for specific mRNA codon recognition, and the 3' end, to which the tRNAs corresponding amino acid is attached (by aminoacyl-tRNA synthetases). tRNAs cope with the degeneracy of the genetic code in two manners: having more than one tRNA (with a specific anti-codon) for a particular amino acid; and 'wobble' base-pairing, i.e. permitting non-standard base-pairing at the 3rd anti-codon position. Lineage: Bacteria; Bacillati; Actinomycetota; Actinomycetes; Micrococcales; Micrococcaceae. The record is from RNAcentral.
GGGGCGAUAGCUCAGUUGGUCAGAGCAGGGGACUCAUAAUCCCUUGGUCCCGGGUUCAAGCCCCGGUCGCCCUAC